UCCUCUUCUUCGUUUCCAAUCCGAAAGAUCAUGCGGCGUGAUGAUCCUAAUGUUAGAUCAAGUUCCCAAAGAGACUGUGGAGCUUUACAACUCGAAACUGGAGCCGAACAAAUAAAAAAAUCAAUAUUUUUUUCUUUGUUUUCCAGACAUAACAAACAACAGAAAUAAAAUAACACGACACCGCCCAAACGGAGCCGAUCGGAACGGGGAAAUAGUAAGAGUGAUUAGGUUGUCUGAGUCGGGAGCAAACCCUCUCGAGGAGACGAAACCCCAACCAUUGCGACAUCUCCCUCCUCCUCCUCCUCCUCCUCCUCCCUCGAGAUUGGAGAUUGAGAGUGUCGGCGACGAGAAGAAGCCGGUGGUCGCCCGUGGUCUCCUGGAACGGCGGCUUCAGCUUCACGCUCCAGUUCUACGGCGCCAAUCCCGAUUCCGCCACCUUUCUGCGACAUCGUAUUAGCCCUUAGUACUGGCGAUGGCGCACGCUCUUGAAGUAUGCCGAUAGUUUAUGAACUUGAUGGCCUAGGUCGUCAUAUCCGGGAGCUAAAUGGUGGGAAAAGAUCCACAGACACUUGGGUCAUUAGAGAUCACAUACCGUAUGUUGAGCAUGGGGAUUGAGUUAUUGAAUGUCUGAAUGAAGACAAUAUUAUGAAGUUGGACUCCCAACUUUUGAAGGAUUGCUUUUCCAUAUUGAGUAUCCACGAAAGCCCUACUAGUGCGGGUGCACUUUUUCUUGGACAAGCUGCUUUUGUCAUCCUUGCUUUGUUAGAUUCAUUUCCAUAUCUGUGGUUCAGAAGAUUCUUGAAACAUGCACUGAUGAACAUUGUGCAAUCUUGCUCGAUCACAUAAAAGUUGAUCUGCAGGCUUUGGAGAAAGUUGCCUACAAGAAACAUAUGGUUGCUUGGGCAGAGCAGUCAUGUGGUGAAGAUGACAAAGUUGUGUUAUGGAUGAACACAGUUUCUCCUCCUGUGAAUGAUUGCAAUAUGAGGCAGCCAAAGAUGCGUUAGCCCCUGCGAUUGAGUGCUUGAUGAUAAUUGGAUCUGUCUUCGAAGCUCAUCGUAUCCUUUGGGGCAUCACACGAAGCGUAGAUUUCGACUUUAAUUAAACCAACCAACCAACCAGAUUUAUGUCAGAGUAACGUGAUACAAAUGAUACAGCAUGAUGAUGAUGAUUGAUGCCUGUGAUAUACAUCCCCUUGAUUUACACGAAACAGUGGUGUAACGCUGGGUAUUAAUAUAUAAAUCCAGCUUAGUGUCCGAUGGUACAGAGGUUAUUGAAUUGGAGCUGCAGUCGACAAAGACUAACGCGUGUAACAACUGAGAAUGAUACUAUGAAUGAUGAUUAUUCUGA
Musa acuminata AAA Group (dessert banana) is the source of this 1347-nucleotide RNA transcript. It is a transcript of the gene named pumilio homolog 2-like, with no coding region annotated. The transcript has 8 exons. The record is from RefSeq and is a predicted model, not a curated record. Lineage: Eukaryota; Viridiplantae; Streptophyta; Magnoliopsida; Zingiberales; Musaceae.